UACGUAGGGGGCAAGCGUUAUCCGGAAUUACUGGGUGUAAAGGGUGCGUAGGCGGUAUCAUAAGUCAGAUGUGAAAACCAAGUGCUCAACAUUUGGAUUGCAUCAGAAACUGUGGAACUAGAGUGCAGGAGAGGAAAGUGGAAUUCCUAGUGUAGCGGUGAAAUGCGUAGAUAUUAGGAGGAACACCAGUAGCGAAGGCGACUUUCUGGAAUGUAACUGACGCUGAGGCACGAAAGCGUGGGUAGCGAACAGGAUUAGAUACCCUGGUAGUCCACGCCGUAAACGAUGAAUGCUAGGUGUCGGGGUUUCAAUACCUCGGUGCCGAAGUUAACACAUUAAGCAUUCCACCUGGGAAGUACGAUCGCAAGAUUGAA
This 374-nucleotide ribosomal RNA is filed under the name uncultured bacterium. RNAcentral's name for it is "bacterial SSU rRNA". It matches the Rfam family "Bacterial small subunit ribosomal RNA", at positions 524 to 898 of the family's 1533-position model. The record is from RNAcentral.